UUUUAAUCAUUCAGAGCGAAUCGUCCAGCUUGCCCGGCUUCUCCCUGAAGAGGAGACCCAGCUCUAAUUUUCAAUGCUGGAUGUAUGAGUGGAGAAGCUUCCAGAAGACCCGCUGAGUCAGUAGAUAAUUGUCUUUGGCGUCUGGAACCUCCUGACCAUUUGGAUAGCUUGAAGAAAGCACGGUGAAAGCAUGUGACACCUGGGUGUAGUCAAUGCCUGAGUGUUGUGGAAAUACAGAAGUUCAAUUCUUUGCCUAGAUGGGAAAGAAACUCUGAGGUAUAAUUCACACUCCAGAGCUCCCAUAAAGA
Rhinolophus ferrumequinum (greater horseshoe bat) is the source of this 308-nucleotide long non-coding RNA. RefSeq lists it as uncharacterized. The record is from RefSeq and is a predicted model, not a curated record. The transcript is spliced from 3 exons. Lineage: Eukaryota; Metazoa; Chordata; Mammalia; Chiroptera; Rhinolophidae.